UUUUUUUUUUUUACUAAACUCUAAAGCUAGCUAUUCUUAUACUUCUGACCAAAGAAUGGUUGUCUUCAGCAAGAGAAAACUAACUGACUCGGAAGAAAUUGGUCCGUUCUAGAAGUUAUAUCUAAAACUUGCAUUUCGAGUUGAAAAAAAUAAUGAUAGUAACGUUUCUUUUUGUACACAUUCGAACGCCUACGCAUACAUGUAAGAAACAAACGUAGUUAACACCAUGAGGCAUGAGUUAGAUACGUAUAAGCGUUGAAAACUUCAGUCGUUUAAAGACUCUUAACUAGUACUAUUAAUUACGCAAUUAACACCACGACUCCACGAGGCAUAAGGUUCUGUUUGAUCAAAAAUAUACAUACCAUGAGGUUUUUUCUUUUACUGAAUUAUUUUUUUACUUUUUUUCUUUGCCACCUUCUUUAUUUGUUUCAUUGUUAUAAAGUUUCACUCACCAAAAACUAUUGUCAGAUUAAUUUCAUUUGGCGACAUGAUUUUAUGGACGAUUUCUAUGAAAAUAAUUGAGCUGAAUCAUUUAAAAUUCUGGUGACGUACGCAACAAUUAGUCAUAUCCCUGU
RNAcentral lists this long non-coding RNA (575 nucleotides) under Brassica napus (rape). RNAcentral's name for it is "long non-coding RNA (BNAP_LNC022500)". The record is from RNAcentral. Lineage: Eukaryota; Viridiplantae; Streptophyta; Magnoliopsida; Brassicales; Brassicaceae.